This 497-nucleotide ribosomal RNA is filed under the name uncultured bacterium. RNAcentral describes it as "partial 16S ribosomal RNA". It matches the Rfam family "Bacterial small subunit ribosomal RNA", at positions 28 to 507 of the family's 1533-position model. The record is from RNAcentral.
GAUGAACGCUGGCGGCGUGCCUAAUACAUGCAAGUCGAGCGAACAGACGAGGAGCUUGCUCCUCUGACGUUAGCGGCGGACGGGUGAGUAACACGUGGAUAACCUACCUAUAAGACUGGGAUAACUUCGGGAAACCGUAGCUAAUACCGGAUAAUAUAUUGAACCGCAUGGUUCAAUAGUGAAAGACGGUUUUGCUGUCACUUAUAGAUGGAUCCGCGCCGCAUUAGCGAGUUGGUAAGGUAACGGCUUACCAAGGCAACGAUGCGUAGCCGACCUGCGAGGGUGAUCGGCCACACUGGAACUGAGACACGGUCCAGACUCCUACGGGAGGCAGCAGUAGGGAAUCUUCCGCAAUGGGCGAAAGCCUGACGGAGCAACGCCGCGUGAGUGAUGAAGGUCUUCGGAUCGUAAAACUCUGUUAUUAGGGAAGAACAAAUGUGUAAGUAACUAUGCACGUCUUGACGGUACCUAAUCAGAAAGCCACGGCUAACUACGUG